AUGCAUUUUGUGCAAAUAAAAAAAUGGCAUUUUCAAACAACGCAAGCUUUAGCAUUGAACGGCUGUGUUGUUAAAGAGCGAAGUAUGGAACCCUGCGCAUACAGAGAAGCCUUAGCAUUGAACGGUUGUGUUGUUAAAGUGCGAAGUAUGGAACCCUGCGCAGACGGAGAAGCCUUAGCAUUGAACGGUUGUGUUGUUAAAGUGCGAAGUAUGGAACCCUGCGCAUACAGAGAAGCCUUAGCAUUGAACGGUUGUGUUGUUAAAGUGCGAAGUAUGGAACCCUGCACAGACGGGGAAGCCUUAGUAUUGAACGGUUGUGUUGUUAAAGUGCGAAGUAUGGAACCCUGCGCAGACGGGGAAGCCUUAGCAUUGAAUGGUUGUGUUGCUAAAGUGCGAAGUAUGGAACCCUGCACAGACGGGGAAGCCUUAGCAUUGAACGGUUGUGUUGUUAAAGUGCGAAGUAUGGAACCCUGCACAGACGGGGAAGCCUUAGCAUUGAACGGUUGUGUUGUUAAAGUGCGAAGUAUGGAACCCUGUGCAGACGGGGAAGCCUUAGCAUUGAACGGUUGUGUUGUUAAAGUGCCAAGUAUGGAACCCUGCGCAGACGGGGAAGCCUUAGCAUUGAACGGUUGUGUUGUUAAAAUGCGAAAUAUGGAACCCUGCGCAGACGAGGAAGCCUUAGCGUUGAACGGUUGUGUUGUUAAAGUGCCAAGUAUGGAACCCUGCGCAGACGGGGAAGCCUUAGCAUUGAACGGUUGUGUUGUUAAAAUGCGAAAUAUGGAACCCUGCGCAGACGAGGAAGCCUUAGCGUUGAACGGUUGUGUUGUUAAAGUGCCAAGUAUGGAACCCUGCGCAGACGGAGAAGCCUUAGCAUUGAAAGGUUGUGUUGUUAAAGUGCGAAGUAGGGAACCCUGCGCAGACGGGGAAACCUUAGCAUUGAACGGUUGUGUUGUUAAAGGGCGAAGUAUGGAACCCUGCGCAGACGGUCGGUCAAUGCGACUUAAGCAACGUGCAGUCAUUGCAUUCUUGAUGGCAGAAGGUGUCACCCCAAAGGAGAUUCACCAGAGAAUGCAACUGUUUAUGGUGGUUGUGUUGAUGUGA
Molecule: long non-coding RNA, 1101 nt
Filed under: Anolis carolinensis (green anole)
Lineage: Eukaryota; Metazoa; Chordata; Lepidosauria; Squamata; Anolidae
Description: lncRNA (ENSACAG00000029649.2)
Source: RNAcentral